CCCGCCUUAGCUCAGCCUGGUUAGAGCGGUCGGCUGUAGACCUUACGACUGCGGAAACCGACAGGUCCCCGAUUCGAAUUCGGGAGGCGGGA
RNAcentral lists this transfer RNA (92 nucleotides) under uncultured Methanocella sp. It matches the Rfam family "tRNA". Rfam says of the family: Transfer RNA (tRNA) molecules are approximately 80 nucleotides in length. Their secondary structure includes four short double-helical elements and three loops (D, anti-codon, and T loops). Lineage: Archaea; Methanobacteriati; Methanobacteriota; Methanomicrobia; Methanocellales; Methanocellaceae. The record is from RNAcentral.